UACGAAGGGGGCUAGCGUUGCUCGGAAUCACUGGGCGUAAAGCGCACGUAGGCGGAUCUUUAAGUCAGGGGUGAAAUCCUGGAGCUCAACUCCAGAACUGCCUUUGAUACUGGGGAUCUCGAGUCCGGAAGAGGUGAGUGGAACUCCGAGUGUAGAGGUGAAAUUCGUAGAAAUUCGGAAGAACACCAGUGGCGGAGGCGGCUCACUGGUCCGGUACUGACGCUGAGGUGCGAAAGCGUGGGGAGCAAACAGG
RNAcentral lists this ribosomal RNA (253 nucleotides) under uncultured bacterium. RNAcentral describes it as "partial 16S ribosomal RNA". It matches the Rfam family "Bacterial small subunit ribosomal RNA", at positions 524 to 776 of the family's 1533-position model. The record is from RNAcentral.